CACGUCGCGACGCGCCUUAGCAUUGGACCGAGCCGCGGCCACUUGCUUUGCAAUUGCAUUUGCCGGGAUCCAUGCCAGCAGCUCCGUCCUAUAUGUGAAGCACCCGGCCGCAAGGCUCUCUCGCUCAUUCACGGCAAAUUAAGCGAGCGCCGGCCGAGGCAGACACAACCCGCAGCAACAACUUGCAUCGGCACGGACGACCGAUUGAGAGCCUCGGCGUUCGUACGCCACGCCACCAAGAGACUCUGUGCAACAAGUGAAGGGACGAAAUGUAUCCGGCCAAGCCCGCCGCCUCCUCCAGCCAGCCAGCGGCCGAGAUGGCGCAGCCGGUGGUCGGCAUCCCCAUCAGCAGCCCCGGCGCGGUCGCGGUCGGGCCGGUCGUCGGCAAGUGGUCCUCCGGCCUCUGCGCCUGCUCCGACGACUGCGGCCUCUGUAAGCAAAGCACUAACCGCUGCUACCUUCUUCUCUCUCUUCACGCAUGCACUAAUGACUAACCGCUGCCUGCAUAUAUCUGCAUCCAACACAACGACGAACAGGCUGCCUGACGUGCUGGUGCCCGUGCAUCACGUUCGGCCGCAUCGCGGAGAUCGUGGACCGCGGCGCGACGUCGUGCGGCGUGGCGGGGACCAUCUACACGCUGCUGGCCUGCUUCACGGGCUGCCACUGGAUCUACUCCUGCACGUACCGCUCCAGGAUGCGCGCGCAGCUCGGCCUCCCCGAAGCCUGCUGCUGCGACUGCUGCGUCCACUUCUGCUGCGAGCCCUGCGCGCUCUCCCAGCAGUACAGGGAGCUCAAGGCCCGCGGAUUCGACCCCGACCUCGGCUGGGACGUCAACGCGCAGAAGGCCGCCGCCGCCGCCGCCAUGUACCCGCCGCCGGCGGAGGGGAUGAUGAUCCGCUAAGCUAAGCUAGCUACCUCGUCGCCGAUCCGGCCCAACCUCCAACGCUAAACUCAGAUGCGUUGCGUCAGUCAGAUCAUCGCGUACGUACGUGUUUUGUACGUAUGGUCGUGUAUAUUUGUACGUGAUGCGUAUAUAUAUAAUGUUAUGACUGAAUG
RNAcentral lists this unclassified non-coding RNA (1056 nucleotides) under Zea mays. Its description in RNAcentral is "misc RNA Zm00001eb211240". Lineage: Eukaryota; Viridiplantae; Streptophyta; Magnoliopsida; Poales; Poaceae. The record is from RNAcentral.